ACCGAUAAAGGCAAACCUGUCGAAAGGCAGGGACGCAAAACCACGGGCCUGUAGCCUUAUAUAAAAAAAACUUAUAUAAGGUAUGGCAGCCGGGUUACCGAAG
Molecule: regulatory RNA element, 103 nt
Organism: Halothermothrix orenii H 168
Lineage: Bacteria; Bacillati; Bacillota; Clostridia; Halanaerobiales; Halothermotrichaceae
Rfam family: c-di-GMP-I-GGC riboswitch aptamer
Source: Rfam